CAAUUUGAGAGUUUGAUCCUGGCUCAGGAUGAACGCUGGCGGCGUGGAUAAGGCAUGCAAGUCGAGCGCCGAGCACCACUUUUGACGGAAUACUGUGGUCUUCAGAGUAAAUGACAACAAACUGAAUGAUUACGGAAAUAUUGUUUCAAAAGUGGUGCUCGGAGCGGCAAACGGGUUAGUAACGCGUAGGAACGUACCCUCUUCUCGGGCAUAACCAACCGAAAGGCUGGCUAAUUCCCGAUAGUCUGACGGCUUAACCUUGUUUAUAGACAUUAAAAAUCCUAAUUUCUAAUAUCUAAUUUUAUCUAAACAAAUUCAAAAUUCGAAUUUUCAAAUAACCAAAACCGUUUUGAACAUUUGAAUUUUGAUUAUUAGAAUUUGCUUCGGAUUUAGGAUUUAAGAUUUAUGAUUUUAAACCAUCAAAAACGAUUAAGCGUUGUAAAUAAAGUUAAGUCGUCAGUAAAGGCAUAGAGCAAUCUAUGCCGGUAGAGGAGCGGCCUGCGUACUAUCAGCUUGUUGGUAGGGUAAUGGCCUACCAAGGCUAUGACGGUUAGGGGGUGUGAGAGCGCGACCCCCAACAUCGGAACUGAGAUACUGUCCGGACUCCUACGGGAGGCUGCAGUCAAGAACCUUCGACAAUGCGCGAAAGCGUGAUCGAGCGACGCCGCGUGACCGAAGAAGCCCUUCGGGGUGUAAAGGUCUUUUAUCGCCGAGCAAUUUUUGAGUGUAGGCGACGAAUAAGGGGCUGCUAAACUCGUGCCAGCAGCCGCGGUAAGACGAGUGCCCCAAGCGUUAUCCGAAUUUACUGGGCGUAAAGGGUCCGUAGGGGGUUUUGAUAGUCCCGGGUUAAAUUUUAAGGCUCAACCUUAAAGCUGCCCGAGAAACGUUAAAACUAGAGGGUACAAGAGGCUGAAGGAACGCACGGUGUAGGGGUGAAAUCCGUUGAUAUCGUGCGGAACACCAAAGGCGAAGGCAAUCAGCUGGUGUAUCCCUGACCCUGAAGGACGAAAGCGUGGGGAGCAAAAAGGAUUAGAUACCCUUGUAGUCCACGCCCUAAACGUUGAGUGCUAGCUGUAUAAAGUAUCGACCCUUUAUGCGGCGAAGCUAACGCGUUAAGCACUCCGCCUGGGAAGUACGAUCGCAAGAUUAAAACUCAAAGGAAUAGACGGGAGCUCGCACAAGCGGUGGAGCAUGUGGUUUAAUUCGACGAUAAACGAGGAACCUUACCAGGGCUAGACCGCCAGAUGAAAUCCCGCGGAAACGCGGGGCGACCCGCAAGGACAUCUGGUUCAGGUGUUGCACGGUUGUCGUCAGCUCGUGUCGUGAGAUGUCCCCUUAAUUGGGUCAACGAGCGCAACCCCUAUUAGAUGUUACAAGUGUCAUCUAAGACUGCCUCGGGAUACGAGGAGGAAGGCGGGGACGACGUCAAAUCAGCGUGAUCCUUUGAUGCCCUGGGCGACACACGUGCUACAAUGGCCGGUACAAUGGGUUGCCAAGCCGUAAGGCGGAGCCAACCCCAUCAAAGCCGGUCCCAGUUCGGAUUGAGGGCUGCAACUCGCCCUCAUGAAGUUGGAAUCGCUAGUAAUCGCGGAUCAGCCAUGCCGCGGUGAAUACGUUCCCGAGCUUUGUACUCACCGCCCGUCAAGCCAGGGGAGCCGGUAGUUCUGGAAACGUCACUUCGGUGGUGUUAAAGAGAGAUCGGUAACAAGGGCUAAGUCGUAACAAGGCAUCCGUAGCGGAAGCUGUGGAUGGAUCACCUCCUUUCUAG
This 1768-nucleotide ribosomal RNA is filed under the name Candidatus Portnoyibacteriota bacterium. Its description in RNAcentral is "bacterial SSU rRNA". It matches the Rfam family "Bacterial small subunit ribosomal RNA". Lineage: Bacteria; Candidatus Portnoyibacteriota. The record is from RNAcentral.